This 405-nucleotide ribosomal RNA is filed under the name uncultured bacterium. RNAcentral's name for it is "partial 16S ribosomal RNA". It matches the Rfam family "Bacterial small subunit ribosomal RNA", at positions 356 to 752 of the family's 1533-position model. The record is from RNAcentral.
UGGGAAUUUUGGACAAUGGGCGCAAGCCUGAUCCAGCCAUGCCGCGUGCGGGAAGAAGGCCUUCGGGUUGUAAACCGCUUUUGUCAGGGAAGAAAUCUUCUGAGUUAAUACCUCGGGAGGAUGACGGUACCUGAAGAAUAAGCACCGGCUAACUACGUGCCAGCAGCCGCGGUAAUACGUAGGGUGCAAGCGUUAAUCGGAAUUACUGGGCGUAAAGCGUGCGCAAGGCGGUUUUGUAAGACAGAGGUGAAAUCCCCGGGCUCAACCUGGGAACUGCCUUUGUGACUGCAAGGCUUGAGUGCGGCAGAGGGGGAUGGAAUUCCGCGUGUAGCAGUGAAAUGCGUAGGUAUGCGGAGGAACACCGAUGGCGAAGGCAAUCCCCUGGGCCUGCACUGACGCUCAUGC